RNAcentral lists this ribosomal RNA (253 nucleotides) under uncultured bacterium. RNAcentral describes it as "partial 16S ribosomal RNA". It matches the Rfam family "Bacterial small subunit ribosomal RNA", at positions 524 to 776 of the family's 1533-position model. The record is from RNAcentral.
UACGGAGGGUGCAAGCGUUAUCCGGAUUCACUGGGUUUAAAGGGUGCGUAGGAGGGCAGGUAAGUCCGUGGUGAAAUCCUAGAGCUUAACUCUAGAACUGCCGUGGAUACUAGCUGUCUUGAAUGCCGUGGAGAUGAGCGGAAUAUGUCAUGUAGCGGUGAAAUGCUUAGAUAUGACAUAGAACACCAAUUGCGAAGGCAGCUCGUUACACGAACAUUGACUCUGAGGCACGAAAGCGUGGGGAUCAAACAGG